This is a small nucleolar RNA of Pseudophryne corroboree (corroboree frog), 135 nucleotides long. RefSeq annotates it as small nucleolar RNA SNORA5. The record is from RefSeq and is a predicted model, not a curated record. NCBI's taxonomy places the organism in Eukaryota, Metazoa, Chordata, Amphibia, Anura, Myobatrachidae. The transcript has a single exon.
UGCAGCCUCGUCAAAUUCAGUCCCGCCCGCAACGUGGCGGAAACUGGCCAAUGGGCUGCGACAGAAAACCUGUAGGUCAUGGGCCUCACCUUCGCUUGGGUGCGAUGUGAGGAUAUAAUUGCACUACAGACACCU